This 253-nucleotide ribosomal RNA is filed under the name uncultured bacterium. RNAcentral describes it as "partial 16S ribosomal RNA". It matches the Rfam family "Bacterial small subunit ribosomal RNA", at positions 524 to 776 of the family's 1533-position model. The record is from RNAcentral.
UACGUAGGCAGCGAGCGUUGUUCGGAAUUACUGGGCGUAAAGAGUGUGUAGGCGGUGCUCUAAGUUCGGUGUGAAAUCUCCUGGCUCAACUGGGAGGGUGCGCCGGAAACUGGAGUGCUUGAGCGUGGGAGAGGAAAGCGGAAUUCCUGGUGUAGCGGUGAAAUGCGUAGAUAUCAGGAGGAACACCUGUGGUGUAGACGGCUUUCUGGACCGUAGCUGACGCUGAGACACGAAAGCGUGGGUAGCAAACAGG